Molecule: long non-coding RNA, 1644 nt
Organism: Strigops habroptila (Kakapo)
Lineage: Eukaryota; Metazoa; Chordata; Aves; Psittaciformes; Psittacidae
Source: Ensembl
CCACAGAGAGUUUUAUUUACAAACAUAUUACAUAUUAUUAACUGAUCAAAAUCCACAAUGUAACAUUGAUUAUACUCAGUAUUUUUGAGUCAUUUAUCCCAGCAUGACAGCUCCUGGCAAUACUCCACAGGAAAACUUUUGUGUAGGUUACCACUUCCACAUCUUCUCAUCAAGAAUAUAGCCCAGGCUUCAACCACAUGAAGCCAGUCAGUCAGAGGCCACUGGCAUUUUAUGCCUGACCUCGUUAUUGCUUAAUAAAACAUCUUCCUGUUUUGGAAAACACUUGGCUAUUCAAAGUACAAGCAGAGACCCUAGUAGUCCCUUCAAGUAGCCUCACUGCGAAAUACAGCUCAAGGGAAAAGUAUACUGAAGGUUUAAUAACAAACAUAUUUAGAAAACAGUAAUCACAUGGGAAACCACAUAUUUCAUCAUGUAACUCUAUGCAAGGAUUUUUGUUACAGAACAAUUACUAAAUCAAAGUGUUGAUUAUUGAGAGACUUCUUUUAUGACUAAAUGUUCUCCUUAAUAAGAUUACUUAUAAGACCUACACAAAAUAUAAACAUUAUCAGACAGCUCUGUCUACAAACAGCCUCUGAAUAUCCCUAAAAAAAUUCAAUAAAUUCUUCUCCAAAUUUAUUACAAGGCCCUGUCCAUUGAGAAGUUAAUUUUUGUUUUUCCCCUGAGAGACUGCUUACGGCAAAUUUGACUGUAUUUCCUUUCCUUCUGGUAUUGACUUGUAAUAAAAGAAAAACAUUUUUCCCUCUUUACUGCAUUUUCCAAAAUUACAUCAGUGCCCAUCCACUUCAAACAAUUUCUACCAAAGAUUUUGUCCAGCUGUGUAAACAAAAAGGUUUUGCAUAUAUUUCAUUGAGCAUUUUGUACCUUUUUUUCUAUAGGGAAAUAUUAAGGCAACACCUCCUUCCACUACUCAGAUGAAUAAUUAUUUACAUGUUUAAACUGAGGUAUAGGUGCUGUCACUGUUAGCAGAAGUUAAGAAAAACAUUCCAGUGUAAUGAACUUGCAACCUUACAUGGAAAUAGGGCAUUAGUAUGCAACACAUACAUGUCCCCGAAACAAUAAAUACUGAUUAAACAAAAGGAAACUGCUCCUGCUGAUACACCUGUCAUAAAGAGAAAUAUGAGCAGCACAGUGUAUCUUAGCUUGUUCUCUUUUUCAGCAGGUUAAACACAGAUCAUUCCCAAAGUCGAUAAACAGAUUUCCUGAGUGCACAGCUAUUCCCAAACAAGUAGCAACUCAGGCAGCAAAUGCGGUGCCCCUAAAAGAAAGCUGUUUUCAUCCCCAGCUGCUGAGGGCGUGCACUUUGAAUACGCUUAGAAUGAAGCUUUAAGCAUAGACUUUGGGGUUUUGUUUUCUUAAUUAAAACCAUAAAAUCCAAGGAAACAAACGCAAUAUGAGCCAUUCUUUUUCUUUGGUGCUCUAAGCAGAUUUUGUUUAAAGCUGUAUUGGACUCCAUUUGAUGUUAAGGAAAGGAACCCCUCUUCCUGAGGACAAGAUGAGGCAGGGUGGGUAUGGGAAGUGUGCCGCUGUUUAUGGAUUGGUCUCAGCAGCUCAGGUUCCUUUUUUUUUUCUUUUAAGGACAUAAAGACAGCUGAAAAUAAGUUGACAAUACAGAGGAAAGACCUC